UGCAGUCGAGCGAUGAAGCACCUUCGGGUGUGAAUUAGCGGCGAACGGGUGAGGAACACGUGAAGAAUCUGCCUUCAACUCUGGGAUAACUCCGGGAAACCGGGGCUAAUACCGGAUAUGAGCCUUGAUCGCAUGAUCGGGGCUGGAAAGUUUUUCGGUUGAAGAUGACUUCGCGGCCUAUCAGCUUGUUGGUGAGGUAAUGGCUCACCAAGGCGACGACGGGUAGCCGGCCUGAGAGGGCGACCGGCCACACUGGGACUGAGACACGGCCCAGACUCCUACGGGAGGCAGCAGUGGGGAAUAUUGGGCAAUGGAGGAAACUCUGACCCAGCGACGCCGCGUGAGGGAUGAAGGCCUUCGGGUUGUAAACCUCUUUCAGUAGGGAAGAAGCGAAAGUGACGGUACCUACAGAAGAAGCACCGGCUAACUAUGUGCCAGCAGCCGCGGUAAUACAUAGGGUGCAAGCGUUGUCCGGAAUUAUUGGGCGUAAAGAGCUCGUAGGUGGUUCGAUACGUCGGAUGUGAAAAUCAGGGGCUCAACCCCUGACCUGCAUCCGAUACGGUCGAGCUAGAGUUUGGUAGGGGAGACUGGAAUUCCUGGUGUAGCGGUGGAAUGCGCAGAUAUCAGGAGAAACACCGAUGGCGAAGGCAGGUCUCUGGGCCAAUACUGACACUGAGGAGCGAAAGCGUGGGGAGCGAACAGGAUUAGAUACCCUGGUAGUCCACGCCGUAAACGGUGGGCGCUAGUUGUGCGAACCUUCCACGGUUUGUGCGACGCAGCUAACGCAUUAAGU
RNAcentral lists this ribosomal RNA (793 nucleotides) under uncultured Actinomycetes bacterium. Its description in RNAcentral is "bacterial SSU rRNA". It matches the Rfam family "Bacterial small subunit ribosomal RNA", at positions 56 to 865 of the family's 1533-position model. The record is from RNAcentral. Lineage: Bacteria; Bacillati; Actinomycetota; Actinomycetes.